Molecule: ribosomal RNA, 398 nt
Filed under: uncultured microorganism
Description: bacterial SSU rRNA
Rfam family: Archaeal small subunit ribosomal RNA
Source: RNAcentral
GUGCACCAGUCGAGAAACUUUACAAUGUGCGAAAGCACGAUAAGGGAACUCUGAGUGCCUCCUAAGGAGGCUGUUCAGGUGUCUAAAAGCACCUGAAGGAAGGGCUGGGUAAGACCGGUGCCAGCCGCCGCGGUAACACCGGCAGCCCAAGUGGUAGCCACGUUUAUUGGGUCUAAAGCGUCCGUAGCCGGCUGGGUAAGUUCCUUGGGAAAUUUGGCUGCUUAACAGUCAAGCUUUCAGGGAAUACUGCCCGGCUUGGGACCGGGAGAGGUCAGAGGUACUCCAGGGGUAGGGGUGAAAUCCAUUAAUCCUUGGGGGACCACCGGUAGCGAAGGCGUCUGACCAGACCGGGUCCGACGGUGAGGGACGAAGGCUAGGGGCGCGAACCGGAUUAGAUA